CCUGCCACACAUGCAGAGGCAGAUGUCACAGUGGUGACAGCGUACAAGUGACAUGCUCAUCUUCAUCUUCUUUCUCAUCAUGAAAGUUUCAGGGGCUUUCCAUAUUUCUGGACCGAAAGAGGUCCGAAUCUCGGUGGGCGGCACCGUGCAGAUCGCCUGUCCCUACCACAGCUUUUAUCAGGACAACGUGAAAUACUGGUGCAGAGGAUAUUACUGGAAUUACUGCAGUGUUCUGCAGCGCUCCAGACCAACACCUCCCCAGGAUGGGGAUCUUCUGGUAUCGGACAAUAAACAGAUUCACAUGUUCACGGUGACCAUGAGGAGGGUACAGGAGCAGGACAGCGGUCGGUACUGGUGCGCCAUCCAGCGUGUCAGCAAACACGUCAAGGUCCCAAUCGAAUUGAUCAUCAUGCCGGAAAUGAAAACUGAGAGGGUGACGAUGACAUCACCGUCCCUCAUCACGACCCCUGAGCUCCUCUCCACCACGGUGACCUCCACACCUCCAAGCACCGUGACCCCCAUGUCACCAACCAGUGGUCAUGUCACAGUUGAUGGCAGCACAGAGUGGUAAAAAACAUAUUUUUUAUGACAUGUGGACCAUUCCCAGAUCCUGUGUGGUUUCACCACGGUACAGUAAUGUUACCUCCAUCAUAAGGGAGACUGGGGAAAAUUGUUGAGUUUUUGUGUUUAAUUUUUAUAAAAUGUAGAGAAAUUACAUGAAACACAUGAAAGAGCUUUUCCUUUCGAAGUAAAGGUGAAUUAGUUUACUAAACAUGAAGGCACAUUUCCUAGAUCAGAGCCCUGGGAUGCUACCAUGGGAGGGUGAAAUUUAUUAUACAAAGUUGGUUGAGGCUCCAUUUUGGCGGAGACUCCUGCCCUUCAGCCCAGGACUGAAGAUGUUCAGGAGUUGGUAUGGACAGUGUGGAGCAUUUCACACUGGGUGCUGUUUGCAGCUCUGGCUCUCACUCCAGUGGCUGUGAAAUUGUGUUUCGUGAGGAGAACAAACAUUAAUAACUAUGCAGGACACAAACUUCACGACCAAGGGACACUUGGAAUGCAAGUCAUGGACCCAACCUGGAUAGCUCUGCGAACAUUUCCAGAAGUUCAGCCGACCCAUAACUACCACAAGACUCUGCCAGUGCCAAAAUCAUAGCUGAGACACUUUAGAACAUAUGAAUGUCUGCUUUCCAAUUGUUUGACAUCACUGUUUAAUCGUAUAGAGUUUGUCCAGCAUAUUUAAAGGCUGAUAUUGAUGCAGUCAGAAUGCAAAUAUAGUGCAAACAAGAGGUUCAGAUACUGUGCAGCUAAGCAUUAGAUUAUUUGAGGUACUGAUCUAACCUUUUAUUUAACGUAGUGUGAUUGUUGUUGCCAGACGUGGUGGUUCCAGCAUCUCAGAAAUAGCCACCCUUCUGUGCAUUUGACACACUACAGUGUCUUGAGCAGUGGUUCUCAACCUUUUUGCACUGCAACCAAAUUUUUAUUUCAUGCCCCUAUAUCUAGUAUAGAUCUAAAUUAACUCUAUGAUCAAGCGCGCAGUGCACUCUGCAAUUUACAUCAAUCAAUGCCUAUUGCACAAAUCUGAUUGGAUGUGGUAGUAAAUUUAAAAUUAACCAUCUGUGGUUUGGCUUCUUGGAUUGGUUGAGUGUUCACCAGUUUUGUGCUAAGCAUUUGCACACCUAAUUACCAUUCAGACAUUAUUCGCUUUUUAUAUUGAAAUGUAUAUUAUGAUUUAUAACACAUACCGGUUCUGAAUGUAACAUGUGUUUUAAAAUAAAUAUGAGGAAAGCCAGAGGU
This is an RNA transcript of Brienomyrus brachyistius, 1794 nucleotides long. It is a transcript of the gene named CMRF35-like molecule 5, with no coding region annotated. Lineage: Eukaryota; Metazoa; Chordata; Actinopteri; Osteoglossiformes; Mormyridae. The record is from RefSeq and is a predicted model, not a curated record. The transcript has 5 exons.